GAGCAGUUUAACGGUAAUAUUUUACCGCCAUAUUUUCUCUAUCCCACGUCUAUUUUAUUCUUCCCACGUUCUCUCUAACGUGUUAUCUCACGUAUAUUUUAUUUUCUUCGUAUUCUCUCUCCCACGAUUCAUCAACCACUACUUUCUCUGAAAAUUUUCAGUAUUUGAAACUCUUUUGAUCAACCAGCUUCUCAUGCCCGAAAAUUUAUUCACACAAACACAGAUGACGCACGCACACAGAACCCUUGCCCCCUCUCUGCCUCACCACCGCCAGCCACGACCCGACGUCACCACGUCGGCGGACAACCCACGCUUCUCCUCUCGUGGCAUCUUCUUUCUAUCUCGCUCCUCGCCGCACUGCCGAUGCCGCGUUCGUCCUCGCCGACAAAAACGGCCGAAGACAAUAAGAAAUUCCUUCAAUUUCCCCCCAAAAAACACCAUAUGUUUGGGAAAUUUCCCCAACCAUGUCGUUGAAGCUCUCACAGGCCGCUGCAGCAACGAUCCCUCAAAAGCCGCAGAGGCAGAAUCAACGAGCAAUCGAGCCACACGAUAAAUGAAUCGCAGAAAUCCUCUUCUCGAUUUUUUCUAUCCGAGAAAAUCGCGGCUGCGAAGUAGGCCGGAAUCAUUCAAGCUCGAGUACCUUAUUUUAUACAGAUUCAGAAACUGAAGAAACCUAACAUCAAACACAAUGAUGGAAAUUCAAAACAUAUCUUCGGCUAAUUCCUACUUGUCUGAAUCGAGACUCCCGCGCUGCUUCUCACACCCCUGUUGACGUUUUCUUCUCCACAUUAGUUAAUUGGUUCUUGUCGUGGUUUCUUAGAAAGGCGUGAAAUUUGCGGCUGCGGAGUUGGUCAUGGCUUCUCUCAAGUUGGUGCAUGGUGUGCAGAGGUAUGUCGACAGUGAAAAGCACUCUGCCGUUUGAUUCGAUUAAAAAAGAACUACAUGAAGACGAGCAAAAUGCACGGCGGCGGGGAAGGGCGGCAAGACGAAGGGGGUUAGCUUCGUGAUCGAUUGCUCGAAGCUGGUGGAGGAUAAGAUCGUGGAGAUCGCUUCGCUAGAGAAGUUUUUGCAUGAGAGAAUUAAGGUCGGUGGCAAAGCUGGUGCUCUCGGUGAUUCCGUUUCUGUCAGCCGCGACAAGAACAAGAUCACCAUCAUCGCCGAUUCCACUUUCUCCAAAAGGUAUAUUAGCAUAAUGUGCAGGAUUUGCUUAGCGUGAUUUCUUCCAACGAAGAAAGAAAUGUGUAUGAAUUGCACUACUUCAACACUUGCUAAGCAAGAGGGCGAGAUUAGUUUCAUGUUCCUUUUAUGCUCUGCCAAUAUUGUCGAAACCACUUUUUGGAUCAAUUUGUGUUGUUUGUUCUAUUUUUCUAAGAUUUUUGAGGCUGCUUAUGAUAUUGAAUUUUGAUGUGGUCA
This is a long non-coding RNA of Salvia miltiorrhiza (redroot sage), 1413 nucleotides long. RefSeq lists it as uncharacterized. The record is from RefSeq and is a predicted model, not a curated record. Lineage: Eukaryota; Viridiplantae; Streptophyta; Magnoliopsida; Lamiales; Lamiaceae. The transcript has 2 exons.